Molecule: long non-coding RNA, 234 nt
Filed under: Capsicum annuum
Lineage: Eukaryota; Viridiplantae; Streptophyta; Magnoliopsida; Solanales; Solanaceae
Description: long non-coding RNA (CANN_LNC022518)
Source: RNAcentral
AGGGCUUUAUAAAAUAACUCCAUUAAGUUCGUCUCUGAAAUUUGAUGGUUGGGCACCAUACUCAGCUUCUUCUUGAAUCUGAACCAAGCCUUAUACAUGGGCUCAAACUGCAGCUGCCUGAAAUUAUAGAUCUUAUUCUUAAGCUGCAGCAUCCUAGAUAGAGAAAACAACUUAUUCAAGAAUUGUCUACAUAACUCUUUCCAGAUAGUGAUAGACCCUCUUGGUAGUUCCCCA